GUAGGAGUUCCUGGCUCCAGAUGGGUCCCUCCCUCUGGGUGCUCCUGACUCCCUAGCUAGGCUUUGGAUAUAGCUCAUCACUUUACACUGAUACUGGAUCCUGUUAUUGGUGCUCUGCCUGCUGCCUUUAGGAACUCUGCUCUGUCAUCCUUGGCUCCUGGUUCACCUGUUUUCAAGCAGUAAUCCUGCCUUUGCUGCCUCCUGACCCUAGGGAUAGUGGUUUGAUACAUCCAGUGGCCGUGUACUUCUGGCUUCCAAUCUCCUGUCCCUCCUCUCCGCUCGUGAUUCCUGUUCCACUGCUUGGAAUCAUCAGAGGAAUUAAAUUAGGAUGCCCAAACCUAAAAGAAACCCGAGUGGAUAUCCAGUGGUCCCUGGAACCGCCUCAGGAUCUUUCAUCUGCCAUGUUUUAAUUAAUUUUAGUGCUAAGCCAGUAGUGGUGACUGCAGAACCAAAGGGCUCACUGGAGUGCCCAGGUUUCAUGAUCUUCUGCCCUUUGAGUUGUCCGGAUGGAAGGGGAUCAUCCAUGGCCUACCUGGAGCCACUGUCACCCCCUUACCGGGAUGGAAAACUCAGAUGCUCUCAGAAAAGCAGGUUAACCCUUGGGCUGGGCCUGCUCAGGUGCACGCUCAGCUGCAAGACUGCAGUCCGACUUAACCCCUGCAGCGCUGCUGCCUUUUUAAGGGCAGUUUCCCUGCUGCAGACAGCAAUAAAUCGCAGUCGCUCAUCCGUGGCACAGUUUAGUAAUGUGUUCACUAAGAGCAUCUCUAGCACUUCUCUCCAGCUCUUUAUGGGGUUACUUGUGCGUUCAGCCUCAGGGUCUGGCUGAGUCUUAAUGUUAAGACAUACAGUAUGAUCUGAUUUUGGAAGAGCUCAGUAUCUAAGAAAAUUAUCUGAAGAGUGAGUGCAGCUAUUGCAGAGCGUCCCUCCCCGUUGACAGCUGCCUCUGCAGUGAAUUCCAAGAUGUUUCCAGGAGAAGCACUGGCCCCGUUUUACACAUGCCUCUUAGGGAGUGCGAUGGCUAAAGUGCUUUUACAAGCUCAAAAAGAUGUGUUCGAGAAAGGGCGAUAAAACUGCUCAGCAUUAAGUAUGUAAAGAUUUUUCUUUAGCAGUAAAGACAGUUUGUGACAUUUUGCCAUCAGUCUUGAAUGCAGGUGUGCAUAAACACAUACACCUGCAUGCCUUUAGUCAUCACUUGUUAUACUUUUAUAGUCUUUUCCAAGUACUAUGUAACUUUAAGCAAAAAUAUAUUCAUUAUUUUCAUCGUGAACAUCUUCGUUCCAUGGAUUUCUAAGUGUGCAUAUAUAUAUGUUAUUCAGCACUUUCUAUUUUUAUUCAUGCCUACCUUUUCUUACAUGCAAAUGCACCCUGAGAUAUUAUGAUCUCCCUGCUUCUGUCGAUCUAUGGCUACAUAAAUGUUUCUCUAUGUAAAUAAAUUUCACCCAUUUUACUUUAAAA
This is a long non-coding RNA of Nothoprocta perdicaria, 1455 nucleotides long. RefSeq lists it as uncharacterized. NCBI's taxonomy places the organism in Eukaryota, Metazoa, Chordata, Aves, Tinamiformes, Tinamidae. The transcript has 5 exons. The record is from RefSeq and is a predicted model, not a curated record.